Molecule: ribosomal RNA, 422 nt
Filed under: uncultured delta proteobacterium
Lineage: Bacteria; Deltaproteobacteria
Description: bacterial SSU rRNA
Rfam family: Bacterial small subunit ribosomal RNA
Source: RNAcentral
GAUAACCGCCCUUUGGAGGGGAUAACGUUCCGAAAGGAGCGCUAAUACCGCAUAACGCCCAAUCCGGUUUGCCGGGCUGGGACAAAGAUAGGGACCCGCAAGGCCUAUCGCCAGAGGAGGGGUCUGCGGCCCAUCAGCUAGUUGGUGAGGUAAUGGCUCACCAAGGCCGAGACGGGUAGCUGGUCUGAGAGGAUGAUCAGCCACACUGGUACUGGAACACGGACCAGACUCCUACGGGAGGCAGCAGUGGGGAAUCUUGGUCAAUGGGCGCAAGCCUGAACCAGCGAUGCCGCGUGAGUGAUGAAGGCCUUCGGGUUGUAAAGCUCUGUGGGGAGGGACGAAAGAGUAGAUUCUAACAGGGUCUACGUUGACGGUACCUCCUUAGCAAGCACCGGCUAACUCUGUGCCAGCAGCCGCGGUAA